CGUACUUCCCGCCGGGCCGAGAUCCGGUCAUCAUCGAGCGGCUUGCCAGUGAAACGCGUCUGCACACCAUUCGAUGGGCUCAGGUGCGACACGUGAACUGCAUUUCGUGCACGGGCGCGCAGUACGGACGGACAUCAGCAAUAUGUUAUCCUCGGCGACGAAACGUCCGGAGUAUGUUGACGGAGAUGUUUCGUGGUCGACAGGUGCAUAACGCGCAAAGGAAGGGCAUGCCUGCAACGUUGACAUGCUUGUGACAGAUGCUGGGGCCAAGACUCGUAUGCGAUGUAUUUGUAAGGACGAAGUCUGGCUGGCUUUGGUCAUUACCUGCCAAGGCUGUCGUGUCGAAGGUAUGAGUGAGAUGACUUUGUGCAGGAGAUGAAACGUCGUCGCCCGCGCACUUCCCAGAACAGCAUUUUGGCACCAACGACCGACUUUAUCUGAUCCAACGGUAAACAACAGGUCCAUGCGGCAUUGGCCCAGGUCGUGCCGCCAGAAUUCGUACACUGCAAUCACGCGGCCACGGGGUACGACGAAAUCUGGGACGAGCAGGGGAUGGAUAACGGUACGGACGUAGACGAGUCAGCAACCGCAACAACGGCAAUGGCGUCCUCGCCAUCAGCUGUCAGGCCAGCUCACCGUGCUGUCGUACACUUCCGAGACCAACCCAGCGUAACGGCCAAGCUGGUGGUGGGAGCUGACGGAGUGUUUUCACCCAUUCGAGCUGCCAUGUACCCCAACGACCCUGGCCCGCGGUAAGGACCUCCGUGAAUUGGUGCUGGAGCCUUUACCGAUUUGGUGCAACAGCCACGUACUUAUCGUCCCUGUUGAUGUGCCCCUUUUCCAACCCCCUAGCAUCCCUCUCCCUGACCUCCGUUCCCUCCUCCUCCACGCUGCCUCAGCUACCUGGGCCACAUGAACUGGAACUGCCUGAUCUACAACCCCGGGGGCAACACAGUGGCACACGCACACGAACCAGGUGUGUACGGCUAGCUGGAUGUACGGCAGUGCGGUCUGCACUGUCAUGAGCACGGUACUACUGUAAUUUCCAUCGCCGCAUGCGCGGCUAGCCUUCAGCGGAGGUGGAGAUGGGCUUUCCUGACUCAAAAUUGAGGGAGGGGAAUUGUGCCGCAAUGUCACUUCCCAACUCAUCGGUCGAUUUGCUCGACUCAAAUGGAUUUCGAUUUCGUCCUCCGAGCUCGACACAGCUCUUCCACAUGAAUCUGAACUCGUCAGGUCAACUGUGUAUCGCCAACAACGGUUUGUUGGGAGCCGAGUUGAUCGACCCCUCGCUCUUCGCCAUCGUCUGUGAUGCGGGUGGCGGUUACACCUUCUGGCAGGUACGGGCGGAUGGUCUGGGCGGUGUUGUGAGGGACACAGUGGACGUCCACCGGGGGACCUCUGAAACGUCAAGUUAAUUAACAUAAAACACCGACAGAGGUACAUUUUUCAUUUUGGGAUGUAUUGCACUGGUGCAGGUACGGAUGCGCUACGACGAGCCCUGCUUCACGUCCCAAUUGGCACAGCCGCCGCCAAGGGAGGCAAACGGCACAGGUGCUGCUGGUGCUGCUACUGGCGGUGCCCCCAACGGUGACAGCGAUGCAAGUGGCAGCGGUGGCGCCCGACGUGGUCGUGGCGGGCAGGGUGUUCCUGGCAGCAAGGCGCGAGUCAUUGAGCGACUCCAGGUGAGGUGAUACACGACCUCAUGUGGGGGGAGGGAAGAGAGGGAGGGGGGAUGCUGAGUGCUCCUACAUGCCCACCCAUACGCGCAGCUCCUUCUGUUGUACCGCACCUACCCUACCAUAGCACCCCUUCCCUGCGCCUAAAUCCAACGCAACCGCGCUCACCCCUCCCCUCCUCCCCAGUCCGCCGGU
Molecule: long non-coding RNA, 1871 nt
Filed under: Volvox carteri
Lineage: Eukaryota; Viridiplantae; Chlorophyta; Chlorophyceae; Chlamydomonadales; Volvocaceae
Description: long non-coding RNA (VCAR_LNC000046)
Source: RNAcentral